Long non-coding RNA from Gallus gallus (chicken), 2320 nucleotides. RefSeq lists it as uncharacterized. The record is from RefSeq and is a predicted model, not a curated record. Lineage: Eukaryota; Metazoa; Chordata; Aves; Galliformes; Phasianidae. The transcript has 4 exons.
GCCUUUAAGACAGGGGCGUGACUAGGUACCUUGCUAAAUCAAGACCUAGGUGGGCUGCAUCUGCUCUUUGAAGACAGGGUUCUCCAAUAAGACUUGAAGUGCUCAUUUCAGGCUCAUCAGCAAUGAGCUAUCUUUGGUGAUAGCUGCUGUAAAUGUACUCUUGGGAAACUGAUUUAAGAAACUGAAGCUCUUCAAGGUAAAUGUUUUGUGGUGUUUCAUUCCAAACCUCCUAGAAUUCAUCAGAAUCCUAUUUAAAGAUAAAUUUCUACCCAGUUUACGAGCUGCUACCUUGAAAGCAAAUUUCAUCCUGCUGCAAGCAAAUAUGGUCUUAGAAUGAAACAAAACAGUUGCCAGAGAUCCAGCCUCUAGUGAAAAAUUCAUGUAAAGCUGUUUUAGAGGAGCUUUUUAGAGUACAGUAGGAAGAAUCAACACUUUGCAUCAUGAAACCCACAACAUUCAGCCAGUGAAGAAAAAAAAAAAAAAAAAGACAAUGAUUAACUCAAGCUUUGGACACUGACCAUUCCAUUUGAGUGGGGGAAAAAAAAAUUAGCCAUGAGGAUUGUUCCCCCUCUUCUCUUUCCCUUAAUUUGUAGUUUUACGAUGGAGGCUAUGGAAGGGCCAGCUAUCUGUUUUCUGGGUGGAUGAUGUUCUCUUACCUCUUCUAUUCCCCUACUUCUUUCUGAUGUAAUUAAUGGUGCUGAGCUGCCAUUCUUUUGGUCUGAAGUUAGUAAUUAACCAGAUCGUCUUCUUUAGGAAAUUUAGAAUUCUUAAUUUUUUCUAUUUUUGAGGGGAGUAAAAAUAUUUUGAUUGUAUGGUUUGUUUUUGUUUUGUUUGUUUUUUAACUUAAUGACAAUUUUACAUUCAAAUAUCUUUGAGCUUGCUGGGUGGAGUUUCAAGGCCACUUAUGGCAUCCUAUUGAUAUUGCUGGGGAGCUGGGAGUCCUGGAGUCAUGAGGAGUGAUGAAGGAUCCUGGAGCUUUGCAACCCACUGUCUUAGCCCUGAGGGGGCUUCUGCCUCUUCCUCCUGAUGGAAGGGCAAGAUAACUUUGUUCUGGGGUUUGGGGGUCUCCCAGACACCUUGUUACACAUCUCUUCCUAUAUCAGGGCUCCUAAACCCUGUGGUGCUUGAGAUCUGGGCAUGAAAAUAAUGGAAGCUUGUGGUUUCCAAUGCCAGAUCGUGGCACAUGCUGAGACAGCCCUGGAACCAGGCAAUGCUAAGCCCGUCAGCAUCUGUGAGGUGUUGCACCACAGGCUGCAAGAGAACCAACCAAGCUCCACCUGUACUUGAGUGAGACUUUGUUGGGAAACUUUCAACAAAUUAACUUCUUCCAUGACUCUGAGGAGUAGUCAGCGAAUUCUCUACCAGCUGUAGAUCAAAGGCCUCUGUGGGGUCCUAUGUACUUGCUCUUGACACCAAUUUGCUUCAUUUUCAUGUGAUGUCCCAGUGUCUGCAGUACUCUGUGGAAAAUAAGUGGUUUUAUGGGAAAAAAAUUAUCAACCUCACUGAAGUGACUGAGGCUGAAAAAGGUGCAAAUGAUUGAGUGCUUGCAAGGCCAGGGCUAUGUCAUUUUGAAAAGCUUCAUUCUCAUCAGACCCAGAUGGUGUGGCUAAUGCUUUCCAUUUUCCAGCCAAAGCAGGGGCUUAGACAGCAGCAAACUGUCUGUUAAAUCAUGUGGAUGGAGCAGCACACUGAACACUUGGCAGGUGUUCCUCUUUCUCUGUUGUGGAGUUUAGGCACAUAGUUUUCCAAGAAAAUCAUAGUUUGGGGUGGAAUAAGGCCUUUCUUUCCUUGGAGCUGCACAAGCACAACAGCUCAGAAGCCAAGAGAUUGCUAGUUGUGGUGCAAACAGAAGUGCUCAACUUCUUCUCUGGAUGCAGCCAAAACCAGAGUGACACUUACUUUGGAUAUUCUGCUGCAUUAUGGAAGUAGACAGAUAAGGAAGUUUAGACAAUAAGAUCCUUCAUCCUUAUGGUGAUUAUUGCUCCCCCUAUUCAUCACAAGGCCAAAGUGGUGCACAAGAUAGACCUCCUAAUCAAAUUAAUUACUCAGUAGAAUUGGAAUACAAAAUACCCACGCGCGCUUAAAUGAAGAGAACCAAAACAUAUCAUCAUACCAGAUGCUCUGAAGAAAAUAAUUACGUCCCAGCUGAAACUAACAUGAAACUGAAAAACUUAAAGAUAUCCAGAGAGUAAUUUAAGGCCAGAAAUAUAAGCAGUGUAAGUGACAAUUUGGACAUGUAUUAAAAAAUCAUAAAUAAAAGUUUAUAUUUGUUUCAUAUUUGUGUUCCAAUCUUAUUAAAAACUGUUAAAAAUAAUAGUAA